This 492-nucleotide ribosomal RNA is filed under the name uncultured bacterium. Its description in RNAcentral is "partial 16S ribosomal RNA". It matches the Rfam family "Bacterial small subunit ribosomal RNA", at positions 29 to 507 of the family's 1533-position model. The record is from RNAcentral.
AGUGAACGCUGGCGGUAGGCCUAACACAUGCAAGUCGAACGGCAGCACAGUAAGAGCUUGCUCUUACGGGUGGCGAGUGGCGGACGGGUGAGGAAUACAUCGGAAUCUACUUUUUCGUGGGGGAUAACGUAGGGAAACUUACGCUAAUACUGCAUACGACCUACGGGUGAAAGCAGGGGAUCUUCGGACCUUGCGCGAUUGAAUGAGCCGAUGUCGGAUUAGCUAGUUGGCGGGGUAAAGGCCCACCAAGGCGACGAUCCGUAGCUGGUCUGAGAGGAUGAUCGGCCACACUGGAACUGAGACACGGUCCAGACUCCUACGGGAGGCAGCAGUGGGGAAUAUUGGACAAUGGGCGCAAGCAUGAUCCAGCCAUGCCGCGUGGGUGAAGAAGGCCUUCGGGUUGUAAAGCCCUUUUGUUGGGAAAGAAAAGCAGCAGGUUAAUACCCCGCUGUUCUGACGGUACCCAAAGAAUAAGCACCGGCUAACUUCGUG